AUGGCUUCUCGGCCUUUUGGCUAAGAUCAAGUGUAAAAAAUAAUGACAAGAAAUAUUAGCCAGAUUGUGCUAUGUCAUUUUUAUCAGUGGCAGUUUUAUUUGUUUUUCCUAAGGUUAUCAAUAUUUGAGGCAUGCUUAAUUUUUGAUAGAGGUAGUGCUCUUCUGAGUACUACCGAGGGAAAAGUACAAAAAUUC
Small nuclear RNA from Oryctolagus cuniculus (rabbit), 195 nucleotides. Its record names the gene U2. It matches the Rfam family "U2 spliceosomal RNA". From Rfam's summary of the family: U2 is a small nuclear RNA (snRNA) component of the spliceosome (involved in pre-mRNA splicing). Complementary binding between U2 snRNA (in an area lying towards the 5' end but 3' to hairpin I) and the branchpoint sequence (BPS) of the intron results the bulging out of an unpaired adenosine, on the BPS, which initiates a nucleophilic attack at the intronic 5' splice site, thus starting the first of two transesterification reactions that mediate splicing. Lineage: Eukaryota; Metazoa; Chordata; Mammalia; Lagomorpha; Leporidae. The record is from Ensembl.